RNAcentral lists this unclassified non-coding RNA (270 nucleotides) under uncultured fungus. RNAcentral describes it as "sequence contains ITS1". The stretch from base 1 to 107 matches the Rfam family "5.8S ribosomal RNA", at positions 50 to 154 of the family's 154-position model. Lineage: Eukaryota; Fungi. The record is from RNAcentral.
AAUGUGCGAUAAGCACUGUGAAUUGCAGAAUUCAGCGAAUCAGUAGAUCUCUCAACGCAACCGGUGUCAGGUAGACUUGUCUACUUGACAGAUAUGCUUCAGUAUUGCAUUAAUGCACUAAACAUGCAUUUUUGUUUUCCGUUCGCGGAAAACGUGAGGUUCGCUAAAUAAUAAUGGCGAAUGGGUAUAGCUCGACGCUUUUAACUUGUUAUUAUCGUCAGAGUAAUUUCUAAUCAAUCUGAAGUAUGUCAGAAUACCCGCUGAACUUAA